CAAGUCGAACGCGAAAGCUCCCUUCGGGGGGCAAGUAGAGUGGCGCACGGGUGAGUAACACGUAGGUAAUCUACCUUUGGAUUGGGAAUAACAACCGGAAACGGUUGCUAAUACCGAAUAAUGCAGCGGCACCUAAUGGUGACAGUUGUUAAAGCGGGGGAUCGCAAGACCUCGCGUCUAAAGAGGAGCCUGCGGCGGAUUAGCUAGUUGGUAAGGUAACGGCUUACCAAGGCGAUGAUCCGUAGCCGGCCUGAGAGGGCGGUCGGCCACACUGACACUGACAUACGGGUCAGACUCCUACGGGAGGCAGCAGUCGGGAAUUUUGGGCAAUGGGCGAAAGCCUGACCCAGCAACGCCGCGUGAAGGAUGAAAUCCCUCGGGAUGUAAACUUCGCAAGAACGGGAAGAAUAAGUGAGAGUUAAUAUCUUUCACGAUGACGGUACUGUUUGUAAGCUCCGGCUAACUCCGUGCCAGCAGCCGCGGUAAUACGGGGGGAGCAAGCGUUGUUCGGAUUUACUGGGCGUAAAGGGCGCGUAGGCGGCCACCGCAAGUCGACUGUGAAAUCUCCGGGCUUAACCCGGAAAGGUCAGCCGAUACUGCGGGGCUAGAGUGCAGAAGGGGCAACUGGAAUUCUCGGUGUAGCGGUGAAAUGCGUAGAUAUCGAGAGGAACACCUGCGGCGAAGGCGGGUUGCUGGGCUGACACUGACGCUGAUGCGCGAAAGCUAGGGGAGCGAACGGGAUUAGAUACCCCGGUAGUCCUAGCCUUAAACGAUGAAUGCUUGGUGUCUGGGGUUUUAUAGUCCCCGGGUGCCGUCGCUAACGCUUUAAGCAUUCCGCCUGGGGAGUACGGUCGCAAGACUGAAACUCAAAGGAAUUGACGGGGACCCGCACAAGCGG
Molecule: ribosomal RNA, 898 nt
Filed under: uncultured Bacillota bacterium
Lineage: Bacteria; Bacillati; Bacillota
Description: bacterial SSU rRNA
Rfam family: Bacterial small subunit ribosomal RNA
Source: RNAcentral